CUUAAAUUUGACAGACCAAUAAUUUUUCUCUCGGUCGUGUUCGCUGUUUUCUUGUUCACCCCUAUAUAGUUUUCGAUUUCGGUAAUUCGCGUAGUGACCGUCGCUCAGAACCCUCCGAAUAGAACCGGAAUCACGAUUGAAGACCAGAAAAAUGACUGGCACAGCAACAAAGAUAGCCUGCCGAAUGGAAUUCAACUGGAACUGAAGUUUUCUGGAACCGGAGGAAGCUUCCUGAAAAGCCGACAUGGAGCAUGAAGACAAGUCAGCAACUUUAUCAGCAUUAACUUCCGUCGUAUUGCUCAGUUUCAAAGCCGAAGCCAACGGAGUCUUGGUCGCCGUAGGAAUGUGAACAGAAUUGCCGGUGUUUCAAAUGAUAUUUCUCUGAUGGUCAGCCUCAAAUCAUCAUGUGCCAUUGGGCACGUCACGCCGUUGCAAAUAUGCCUUAGAGUGGAUCGAACCAUUUGCGGAUCGGUGAACCCGCAUAGAAAAAUACAUUUUGGCUUACAUUGAAAACAGUACAUUUCUUCUAACUGGUAAGGUUACUGUAGGGUCAAUAGGGGCAGUAUGGUCCACCUAAGCAAAAGUUCUUGAAAAGCAUAGAAAAACAAUACAAUUUAAUCGAUCCAUAAGCUUAAUUUGUAGUUUGAAGCAUCUCCUUUCAUACCACAGUUGUAUUCUGGUAAAAAGAUUACUUAGAAUUUUUUUGGGAACAUUUUUGAAAAACACUAUUUUGUGUGUGACUCUACACUAUACGGGGCGAAAUGGUCCCCCCUACGGGGCAAUAUGAGCCAUCAUACUAAAUCUUAUUAUUUUAAUUGGAAAACCAUUUGCAAGGCAUAAUUUAGAAGAAGACAAUAAUGUAUGAUAGAGUUUAGUACAAAAACUGGGUUGAAGUCUGAUUUGUAUCAUGAAAUGGUAUGUUUUGCUGACAGUUCAAUAAAUCAUGGUUCUAAGAGCUUCAGUUUUCAAACAUAGUCGUUCAAAUAAGUUUAACCAGGUAAAAAUUCUAGUUUUAAUUGAAAUCACGUGCGAUAACAAUAUUGCAAUUAAACUGCUAAAAUGACAUGCCAUUUUUGGUUAUCUAUUUUUGUGAUAAGAUAGCUUUGACCGGCUAUGACCAUAUUGCCCCGUUCCUAGAUGUUUCAUAUAAAUUAUAUUUUAUUGAAAAUUUAUUUUAGAAUCUAUACAAUUUUGUGCACAUAAUGCCUAUGAAUAAUGAAAGAACGAACUGCUGUGAAAAAAAUU
Aedes aegypti (yellow fever mosquito) is the source of this 1245-nucleotide long non-coding RNA. RefSeq lists it as uncharacterized. The record is from RefSeq and is a predicted model, not a curated record. Lineage: Eukaryota; Metazoa; Arthropoda; Insecta; Diptera; Culicidae. The transcript has 3 exons.